CUGUCUCCUCACAGCCCCGCUCCCCUCGCCCCGGAUCCGGCUGGGGGUCGUAAAGCCAUUCAUAACGGCAUCAGCGCCUGACAGCUCCCCGCCCUGACAGCAGCCUGGGACAGAGGGCGUCACGGGGAGCGUUCGCACCAGCAGUGGCCGUCAGAACUCCCCAGCUGUGCAGCGAGGAGAAUCUCAGCCAUAAAGCAAAAGCCGGCUCCCACCAGCCCUGGGGCUGAAGCCUGGUGCAGAGACUCUGGGCUUCCCGGCUUUGCCCUGCGUUCCCGGCCUGACCGCGGGAAGGAACAUGGACAGCUUCGCUGCACCGCGGAGAAGCCAGCGUCUGCAGGAGCCGCUUGGUGACAGCUUCUGCACCUGAACGGAGGCCUCGGGCCACGUCCCUUUGCGGAGAGCGACACGCGAGCACACGUGUGAUCACGCUGUGCAAGGGAUUCCAAAGACUGUGGGAAACGGUCUUAAAAGAUAAGUUUGUUUCUGUGCAAAACAAGGUUGAAGCCCGUGUGUACGCGGGAGCUGUAACAAGUCCCGGCAUGGAAAACCACAAGCGGGCUUCGAGGCAGCCGUGCGCCAACAUAAGGGCACUACGAAUCCCACCUCUCUGUGGACGGUUCGCAGCUCCCCCGUGUUCACGGGCCCGCCGCGUGCCAGGGAGCGGGGCCCAGGCAGGCUGGCGUUAACCCCCGCGGAGCCGGCCCCAAGAAGCAGGCCCUGCUGAUGGAAGGACACAGAAGAAGGACACAGUUUUCUGCUGUUAGAUUUGACCUCGCGACUUCAAGCAGGCCACACGUUGAUGCUCUUUGGUUCUCGGACGCGGCUGUGGUUUUGGAGAGUGGCCGGCUGACCAGAGCAGCCACGCUUCUGACGAAGGAGCCGGGCAGCAGCUGCAGGGGUGGGGGGAAGGUGGCUUCCAGCAGAGGACCGAGGUGCCCAGCUCUGGGCAGCACCCCGGUCGCUCUCAGAGGGGCUGGAUCCCCUCAGCCGGUUCUGAUGGCCACACCCGCCGUAUCUUCUGAGGUCAGGGACGCCCCAGCCGAGACGCGAGACACAGUGAUCCUUGCUGGGGCAGGACACUGGGCACUGCCACACAGGACCCCCUGUCCCUCCCUGACUGUUCUGCCUUGACUGAGAUGAGGGGAGAAGCAGGUCCCGAGGACCGCCAUGCACCCCCAUCCCGUGUGGAAGUACAACUGCUCUCCGGGUUGUCCGACCUGCUAGCAGUGUGACCGUGGGGCGAUGGGUGACAGCCACCGGUGUCUGCCACCUCCCCAGCAGGCCCCAUCGGGGGACGAGGCAGCCACGAGACAAACACAAACCCUUUCUCCCGGGGACCCACUGGGACCUGUGGACACCCACUUAAACCGAGCAAAAGGCAAGUUUAAUCCUUUUGUUCUGAAAGCUACAGCCUGAGCGUGACAGCUCCCGAGCACGGUCUUUUUUAACAGUAGCUGAUCGUCCGGCCUCUCGCUGCGGCAGCUGCCAGCCGAAGACCGCUUGCUUUUCCCUCGUCGCGGAAGCGCCACCCGGCUUCACUCCCUUUCCUCGGCUCUCAGAGAAGCCCUCCCGCCGGUCCCUGCCGGGUGUCGAACACACAGAGUUUUACGCUGCCGCUGCAGUCAUGGCUGAGAGAACCCCCUCCAUGGGAAGCCGGCAGGCAGCGGGGUCUGAAGUAAAAGCACGCUGGCUCACCCCGAAACAGCACCGUCAUGUCCCUUGUCCUGCACCCUCUGAUGGCCUCGGGGCUGGGGUCACACCCACCUCUCUCCUCGCAGGAGCUCCAGGAGGAGGGAGGGCCACUCGUGCACUUGCAGCGGGCAGCUCCACUGUCGCAGGAACGCUCGCUGCGCUCCCUGCGCAGACCCACGGAGGUGCCGGCCGCCCGGCGACAGCCGUCCCCACCGCCUCGUGUGGAAAAGCUCCCGUGGCCCCCGCCCUCCGACACUACAACCUCUGGAAGCAGGCACUGCUCUGACUUCAUGUGCAGACAGGGAAACUGAGGCCACGGGCCAGACUGCCAGCGUUGGGACCGAAGCCAGGCUGUCUGGCGGCAGAGCGGUGCCCGUCACUCCCCAAGCGGGACAACGGGGCUUUGGUGGCAGUCGCUCAGGCCCGGUCCCAGCGGGCACGGGCAUGCCUCUGCAGCCAUCUGAGCUUCAGUGUCCCUCGGGAAACCAGGGGCACGGCGGUCCCCACUGAAGGAGCUGUUAAGGGUAUGACCAGCGCCUGCCCGGUCAGAAGCAGUCAGCACACACUGGGCCCUGGGGUCUGGGCCGCAGGCCAGCUGUCCACAACCUGGCCCCAACACUGGGUCGUGGGCUGCAGCCUGGCGUCAGGAGUCGGCGAGAACUCUUGUCAUGUCCCAAAUGCUCGCACAGCAUAGCUAUGGGGGGAGGGCCAAGGGGACCCCACAGGCCAGGGCUCAGCCAGGUGCCCCGAGGAAGGCGAGUGGGCCCUCGGGGAGCAGAGCUGGGGGGCAGCCCUCAGGAGCCCUCCUGCCUUGGAGUCCCAUGGACCCUCCCCCUCCAGGCCGAGGGGACGCCUGCACAAGGAACACAGGAAGAGUAACAGCCGGGAUCCCGGCCUGCUCCGCGCAGUGCCGCGGCGGGAGAGGCAGCGGACUGGCAGGGCGCUUCCCCCAGCUCUCACAGAAACGGGUUCCCGUCCUGCUGCCCAGCUCAGACGGGGUGGGGGGGACGCUGAGAGCCCCCACAGUAAGAAAGGCUGAAACAAUGUCCGUCACAGGCGCGGCGACCGGCCAGGCGACUCGGGGAGACGGGACCACUGACUGUCUCGUGUCGUUUGUGUGGUUUACCUGCUGGGCGAGCCUGGCCACAGAACUUCACGUGCUGGACCCCCUGCCCCAGCUGCAAAUGAUAAUCCUUUAAUUACCAAAUAAAAUCCUUACCCCGAACAAUCACCCUACUCUAAAUAAACACGCCUCUCGUCUGAGAACCCACACUU
Non-coding RNA from Oryctolagus cuniculus (rabbit), 2967 nucleotides. NCBI's taxonomy places the organism in Eukaryota, Metazoa, Chordata, Mammalia, Lagomorpha, Leporidae. The record is from RefSeq and is a predicted model, not a curated record.